CUGGGCUACGGAGACAUGUUCCCUCAGACCUGGUCUGGCAUGCUUGUAGGAGCUCUGUGUGCUCUUGCUGGUGUGCUUACCAUUGCCAUGCCUGUACCCGUCAUUGUGAACAAU
This is a non-coding RNA of Pelobates cultripes (western spadefoot toad), 114 nucleotides long. The record is from the annotation of a GenBank genome assembly. NCBI's taxonomy places the organism in Eukaryota, Metazoa, Chordata, Amphibia, Anura, Pelobatidae.